Small nucleolar RNA from Peromyscus maniculatus bairdii (prairie deer mouse), 141 nucleotides. Ensembl annotates it as predicted gene, 25117. The record is from Ensembl. Lineage: Eukaryota; Metazoa; Chordata; Mammalia; Rodentia; Cricetidae.
ACCCCCUGGCAAUGGGCAAAGAGACACCUUGGUGGUGUUGUUCUUAUAUCAGUCAGGGGCAGAGCAGAUGACAGUCCUUUGUUCAUCCUAGCUUGAUGCCUGCCUUGGUGGCCAAAGCUGUUUCAUGCCUAGGGCACAUUU